GAUGAACGCUGGCGGCGUGCCUAAUACAUGCAAGUCGAGCGAACAGAUAAGGAGCUUGCUCCUUUGACGUUAGCGGCGGACGGGUGAGUAACACGUGGGUAACCUACCUAUAAGACUGGGAUAACUUCGGGAAACCGGAGCUAAUACCGGAUAACAUUUGGAACCGCAUGGUUCUAAAGUGAAAGAGGGUUUUGCUAUUACUUAUAGAUGGACCCGCUGCGUAUUAGCUAGUUGGUAAGGUAACGGCUUACCAAGGCGACGAUACGUAGCCGACCUGAGAGGGUGAUCGGCCACACUGGAACUGAGACACGGUCCAGACUCCUACGGGAGGCAGCAGUAGGGAAUCUUCCGCAAUGGGCGAAAGCCUGACGGAGCAACGCCGCGUGAGUGAUGAAGGGUUUCGGCUCGUAAAACUCUGUUAUUAGGGAAGAACAAAUGUGUAAGUAACUGUGCACGUCUUGACGGUACCUAAUCAGAAAGCCACGGCUAACUACGUGCCAGCAGCCGCCGUAA
This 513-nucleotide ribosomal RNA is filed under the name uncultured bacterium. Its description in RNAcentral is "partial 16S ribosomal RNA". It matches the Rfam family "Bacterial small subunit ribosomal RNA", at positions 28 to 523 of the family's 1533-position model. The record is from RNAcentral.